AGUAAAGUCAGCUAACCAAGCUUUCGGGCCCAUACCCCUAACAUGUAGGCUAAACUCCUUCCUUUACUA
This 69-nucleotide transfer RNA is filed under the name Hypogeophis rostratus. RNAcentral's name for it is "tRNA-Met". The record is from RNAcentral. Lineage: Eukaryota; Metazoa; Chordata; Amphibia; Gymnophiona; Indotyphlidae.